Mauremys mutica (yellowpond turtle) is the source of this 344-nucleotide long non-coding RNA. RefSeq lists it as uncharacterized. The transcript is spliced from 3 exons. The record is from RefSeq and is a predicted model, not a curated record. NCBI's taxonomy places the organism in Eukaryota, Metazoa, Chordata, Testudines, Geoemydidae.
UCUUCUGUGUCUGCUAUGACUACUCCUGCUCUUAAAUGUGUGGCUUUGACCUGGGCUUGUUUUAGAUCUUGUCUGCUGACCUUGGCCCUGAAACCUGAUUUGGACUCUGAUCCUUGGUAUUGACCCGAGCCUGGAACUUGACUAUGAACCUCUCUGAGACUCAGCCUCAGAUAAUGGGCCAGCUUCUUCCAAGAUCUCACAGAGAGAUAAGCAGAAAGCAUGCCAAACCAUCAGUGGGGUGUCUGGACGAUCAAGGAGCUCUCAAGGAAGCAAGACCAUUGCAGAGAAGCUAAAUGAAUUCUUUGCAUCAGUCUUCACUGCAGAGAAUGUGCGGAAGAUUUCCA